Sebastes umbrosus (honeycomb rockfish) is the source of this 1009-nucleotide long non-coding RNA. RefSeq lists it as uncharacterized. The transcript is spliced from 3 exons. The record is from RefSeq and is a predicted model, not a curated record. NCBI's taxonomy places the organism in Eukaryota, Metazoa, Chordata, Actinopteri, Perciformes, Sebastidae.
GAAGUGUCCCAGGUGGCGGUGGAGGACCCUGACGUUCAGUGAUUGGAUGACCUCUUCAGCGGGGCGAGGCUCGGAGAUCCCCAGCCUAUCAGAGGACACGAAGAGCUCGAUGCCAUUCUUCUUCUCCUCCGGUUGAUGUGCACGUGUCCUGCAGGAACGCCCAGCGCUGCCGCUACGCCUUCCCGAAACCACCGAAGAAGACUGACGUUCAGCCUCCUCACAUCCACAGCCAGAACCCAACAUGGCCGUGGAUCUGCAGUGAUUUUGAUCUGCAGCCUGAUCACCAAACAGAUCGAAUCAGAACAUCAUCUCUGCGUCUCCUGCUGUGUUAUUUUAUCUCUCCUCCUCCAUCUCUUCCCAUCUGGUUUUCCCAACAGUCUCUCAGCUUUCAGCAACAGUGAUACAGGAGACAGGUGAAACACACAUUAAUGACUCAUCCUGGAUUUUACCGGGAUUGGUGUGUAUAUGUGUGUGUGUGUGUGUGUGUGUGUGGGGGGGGGAAUAACCACAGGAAACACAUCUUUGUAAGAAGACCCUAAGGGCUCAUGAAAACACACACACACACACAGCUGAUUGGUUUGUGUUGCUGAUGUUGCUGAGACACACCGACUAUGGACGCCUUUUUAACCCCCUCACACUGAAGACAGUCAAAACGUCAUAUUUCUAUGUUGAGAAGCUACAGAGACACCACAAGAGACAAGAACUGUGAUUGGUCAGCUUCUGUUUUCUCCAACAAGUUCCCGAUACUGGUAGACAGCGUUGAACCGUCACAGUACGUGUAUAUGUGUGUGUAUGUGCGGAACCAAAGUUCACAAGCGCGAGUUCCGUCAAAUUUUCCGUGUGCCGUGUGAUGCAAAUGACGCGACACGAACAUGCAACAUUUGCGUCAUUAGAGUUGAAAUAUAUCAAGAAAUCUGUGUGACGCUGUGUCGCGACAGCCUAUCAGCGUCAAGACUCUCCUCCUGUCGUCACUGACGUCCUGACGUUGCUGGCACUGAUCGAUCCAAAC